RNAcentral lists this ribosomal RNA (598 nucleotides) under bacterium 4873K4-B1. Its description in RNAcentral is "bacterial SSU rRNA". It matches the Rfam family "Bacterial small subunit ribosomal RNA", at positions 61 to 654 of the family's 1533-position model. The record is from RNAcentral.
GUCGAGCGGUAACAGAAAGUAGCUUGCUACUUUGCUGACGAGCGGCGGACGGGUGAGUAAUGCUUGGGAACAUGCCUUGAGGUGGGGGACAACAGUUGGAAACGACUGCUAAUACCGCAUAAUGUCUACGGACCAAAGGGGGCUUCGGCUCUCGCCUUUAGAUUGGCCCAAGUGGGAUUAGCUAGUUGGUGAGGUAAUGGCUCACCAAGGCAACGAUCCCUAGCUGGUUUGAGAGGAUGAUCAGCCACACUGGGACUGAGACACGGCCCAGACUCCUACGGGAGGCAGCAGUGGGGAAUAUUGCACAAUGGGCGCAAGCCUGAUGCAGCCAUGCCGCGUGUGUGAAGAAGGCCUUCGGGUUGUAAAGCACUUUCAGUCAGGAGGAAAGGUUAGUAGUUAAUACCUGCUAGCUGUGACGUUACUGACAGAAGAAGCACCGGCUAACUCCGUGCCAGCAGCCGCGGUAAUACGGAGGGUGCGAGCGUUAAUCGGAAUUACUGGGCGUAAAGCGUACGCAGGCGGUUUGUUAAGCGAGAUGUGAAAGCCCCGGGCUCAACCUGGGAACUGCAUUUCGAACUGGCAAACUAGAGUGUGAUAG